CCCUUAGAUGUUCUGGGCUGCACGCGUGCUACACUGAUAUUGCCAAUAUGUCAUUCUUAUCCGAAAUGGAUUGGGUAAUCAAGUAAUGAAAUUUCAUGCUUGGAAUCGGUAAUUGCAAUUUUAUCGUGAACGAGGAAUUCCUAGUAAGCACUAGUCAUCAGCUAAAGUUGAUUAUGUCCCUGCCCUUUGUACACACCGCCCGUCGCUACUACUGAUUGGGUGUUCAAGUGAGAUGCUUAGACCCUUGUUGCAUGGUUCAUUAUUGUGCUCCGAAAGGAAAAAGUUUCAAGCUUGAGUGUCUAGAGGAAGUAAAAGUCGUAACA
This 323-nucleotide ribosomal RNA is filed under the name uncultured eukaryote. Its description in RNAcentral is "partial 18S ribosomal RNA". It matches the Rfam family "Eukaryotic small subunit ribosomal RNA", at positions 1470 to 1796 of the family's 1831-position model. The record is from RNAcentral.